AUUAUAAUAAUAAAAUAUUGUGCCAGCAAUUGCGGUUAAACAUUUCUUAUUAAUUAAUAAAAACAAUUUAAAUAAAAUAUUUUAAAAAAUAAAUUUAAAUAUAAUUUUAUAAUAAAAUAUAAAUUAUAAAAAAAUUUAUUAAUUUAAUUAAUUUAAUUUAAAAAUUAUUAAAAAAACUAGGAUUAGAUACCCUAUUAUUAUACCUAAAUUUUAAUUAAUUUAAAAAUUAAAUGAUAAAUCACUAAAUUUAAAAAAUUUGACAGUAUAUUAUUUUCAUAGAGGAAUAUAUUUUUAAUAGAUAAUAAACUAUAAUAAAUACUUAAAUUCAAUGUUUAUAUAUUAUUGUUUUAAAAUUAAAUUUUUAAAUUAUUAUUAAUUAAAAUAUUUUUAAAAUAAAAAUUCAAAUCAUAAUAUAACUUAUAUUUAAGAAAAUUAGUAUUACUUUAUUUUAAAAUAAAAUUUUAAAAAAUUAUUUUUUUAAAAAAUUAGAAUUUAUAACUAAAAAAAAUUAAUUAAUUUUUUUGAAAAUAUAAUUAAUAUAUGUACAUAUUGCCCGUCAUUUUCAUAACUGAAACAAGUCGUAACAAAGUAAAAUUACUGGAAAGUAAUUUUA
RNAcentral lists this ribosomal RNA (613 nucleotides) under Fopius arisanus. RNAcentral describes it as "12S ribosomal RNA". The record is from RNAcentral. Lineage: Eukaryota; Metazoa; Arthropoda; Insecta; Hymenoptera; Braconidae.